Molecule: microRNA precursor, 200 nt
Filed under: Oryza sativa Indica Group (long-grained rice)
Lineage: Eukaryota; Viridiplantae; Streptophyta; Magnoliopsida; Poales; Poaceae
Description: MIR812 microRNA precursor family
Rfam family: MIR812 microRNA precursor family
Source: Rfam by way of RNAcentral
AAUAAACCCUGAUUUCCAUGCCCAAUAUUUGACCGUCUAUCUUAUUUGAAAAAAUUAUAAAAAAAAUUAAAAAAACAAGUCACGCAUAAAGUAUUAAUCAUGUUUUAUCAUCUGACACCAAUAAAAAUACGAAUUAUAAAAAAAAUUUAUAUAAGACGGGCAGUCAAAGUUGGACACGCAAACCCAGGGUUUGCCUUUUU